UUAACAGACCCUGCCAGAGUUCUCCUCAGACAGUCCCUGGGUCUCUGAGAUGCAAGUUUUCCAGCUGAUUUUAAAACAUGGAUAGCUAACUGAUGGUAUUUAGCUACUUAAUGGACUGGAAACAUCCUGUUUUGACAAGUGAUUGUAGGGAGCCAGAUGGAAGAAAGCAGUUCCAAUGGGGAACAGCCUCACUGUGAUGACCUCAGGAGCCCAUACUCAGAUGUGGUUGCUUCUUAAACACCUAUCUCCCUUUCGGAUGAAAUGGGCAUUCCUGGAAGGAUCUGAGCCUGAGGUAAAACUGGAAGAGGUCAAACCAACCCAGCAGCGCCGUUCCCAUGGCUGCAGAGAAAAGCUCAGUGCUGUGACUGCCUGUUAAUCACCUGGA
Manacus vitellinus (golden-collared manakin) is the source of this 385-nucleotide RNA transcript. RefSeq lists it as uncharacterized. Lineage: Eukaryota; Metazoa; Chordata; Aves; Passeriformes; Pipridae. The transcript has 2 exons. The record is from RefSeq and is a predicted model, not a curated record.